CGGGUGAGUAAUGUCUGGGAAACUGCCCGAUGGAGGGGGAUAACUACUGGAAACGGUAGCUAAUACCGCAUAACGUCGCAAGACCAAAGAGGGGGACCUUCGGGCCUCUUGCCAUCGGAUGUGCCCAGAUGGGAUUAGCUAGUAGGUGGGGUAACGGCUCACCUAGGCGACGAUCCCUAGCUGAUCUGAGAGGAUGAUCAGCCACACUGGGACUGAGACACGGCCCAG
This 228-nucleotide ribosomal RNA is filed under the name uncultured bacterium. Its description in RNAcentral is "partial 16S ribosomal RNA". It matches the Rfam family "Bacterial small subunit ribosomal RNA", at positions 103 to 334 of the family's 1533-position model. The record is from RNAcentral.